RNAcentral lists this small RNA (1127 nucleotides) under Pan troglodytes (chimpanzee). Its description in RNAcentral is "processed transcript". The record is from RNAcentral. Lineage: Eukaryota; Metazoa; Chordata; Mammalia; Primates; Hominidae.
AGUACUAACCAGCUAUUUCAUAGCUGUUGCAUGAGGAAAGGGACUAGAGUAGGAUUGUACCCCUCAGUCUAUGCUUUGUUUACUCUGAGUGUGCAAAAGAUGGAUAUGAAUUGUCUCCCACGGCAGCAGCUAACUUCACACGCCGAAACCUGGCUGACUGUCUUCGGAGUCGGACCCCAUAUCAUGUGAACCUCCUCCUGGCUGGCUAUGAUGAGCAUGAAGGGCCAGCGCUGUAUUACAUGGACUACCUGGCAGCCUUGGCCAAGGCCCCUUUUGCAGCCCACGGCUAUGGUGCCUUCCUGACUCUCAGUAUCCUCGACCGAUACUACACACCGACUAUCUCACGUGAGAGGGCGGUGGAACUCCUUAGGAAAUGUCUGGAGGAGCUCCAGAAACGCUUCAUCCUGAAUCUGCCAACCUUCAGUGUUCGAAUCAUUGACAAAAAUGGCAUCCAUGACCUGGAUAACAUUUCCUUCCCCAAACAGGGCUCCUAACAUCAUGUCCUCCCUCCCACUUGCCAGGGAACUUUUUUUUGAUGGGCUCCUUUAUUUUUUUCUACUCUUUUCAGGUGCACUCUUGAUAAAUGGUUAAUUCAGAAUAAAGGUGACUAUGGAUAUAAUUGGGCCCUCUGGUCCAGGUCUCAGUUUACCUAAUAUUACCUCAGAAAGGAUAUGGAGGGAAGAUGAUCUUUUUGCCAGGUCUGACUUUUCUUCCUGCUCCACCCUCCAUUAAUGCUUAGUACCCUUUAGCAGCUGACGGCCCCACGUUCUACUCCAUGCUUGGCUUCCUUUCCAACUAGCUCUUUCAUAUAUUUUACUUGCUAGUAUCUCCAUUCUCUCUAAAGUAGUGGUUCUUUUUGCCCUUAAACUUAAAUUUUUAAAUUAAUUAACCUGAAUUAAUAAUACAUGCACUUAAUAUAACAUGCAAACAGUACAAAAACAUGUAGUGAAAAAUAUUUCUUCCAGAGCCAGGUGUGGUGGCUCAUACCUGUAAUCCCAGCACUUUGGGAGGCCGAGGCGGGCGGAUCACAAGGUCAAGAGAGCGAGACCAUCCUGACCAACAUGGUAAAACCCCGUGUCUAAUAAAAAUACAAAAAUUAGCUGGGCUUGGUGGCACGCACCCCUAGU